UGGAGGAGCAUCCAGCUCCGGACGGGCUGGGCUGGGCGAAACAGCCGGAUAUGAAGGAACCCAUGAUGGGAUCAAUCAACUGCUGCUGGAGGAGCAGGAGGAGCAAAGCAGGAAGAAGUGGAGGAGAGAGAGGAGGUGAAGGACGGUGCCUCAGACACCUCAGCCCGAUCCGGCUGGACGGGCGCCGCGCCUCCUGCCUCACACUCCAUCUGCGGGCCGGACGGAGAGAGAGAGGGGGGCUGGGCCGCACGGCCCCUCCUUACAGAAGAGAGGCAGAAAGAAAAAAGAGAAAGAAGAAAAGGGGGGGGAGGGUGUUACUGAAGGAGUGAAUGGAGUGAAUUGUGCUGGCCAGGAGGCAGUGAUGUCAGCGGGGGCUUUAUUUACGUCCGACAUGCUGUAGGGAAGCGGUCAGGAGCCUGCUUGGGUGCAGCCUGUGCGGUCUGCUGCUGCUCUGCUGGAGCUAUAAAUAACUACGGCUCCGUUUCUCGGCUCACAUGACCUGAUGAUGAGGGAAAGCGUCGCAUUUAAGCCGCACUUAAGCCACGUUUAUGUUUCAUGAGCAUGCAGGAAAUGAACUGGUGGAAUGUCAAGAAAAUUCUAAUCUAAGAUGCUGCUCUCCAAAGCCUGGUGUGUACCAAAUAAAGAGACUGAGACCAACUGAGCAGGAAAUAAAACAAGAAGUUUCAAAGGUUCCUACCACUGUCUGAUGAACUUGAGUCGUCUGUCUUUCCGAAGAGAAACUCGUACUUGGCCUUGGCAACACUCUGGGCAUGGGAAGAGGAGCUGUUGACCCAAACAAACGUCUCAGCCUGCAGAAAGAGACCUGAUUAAGACACACUGCAACAUCAAUGAAGACUUACACUGUGAUGUAAAAUGCUGAUGAGAAAUAUUCAAGUGAUCAUUACUAGCUACUCAAUUAAAAAAUGUUCACAUUCUCUGUGAAUCUAUAAUGGUUGGCAAUUUAUUGUCCACUUUUAUUUUUAGUGGUUGGCCUUUUUAAAAACUCUAAAAAAUUUGUAGAUUCCUCAUUGGCUGAGACAAUCACAUAGUGACAGUCCUACAUUGAGCUGGAUCUCAAGCCAGAUAAUGUGCGCUUCCCUUUCAAUCAAAAGAUCUCAUUUCAACAUUUCAUACUGCUGAGUUACUCUUUAAAUCUAGGAUGAGACAUGGACAGCAGGCCACUGCUUUGAAAAUAUCACCGUAAAUUUCAAGCUACAAGCUAAGCCUGGAGUUCCCACAGCACUAAAAGGUUAAACUGUUGACGGAGCAGUUGCUAUGGCUUCGUAUGAUUGGACGGGGAAUGCAGGCAUCUAUUCCCAGAGAGUGCUCUUGCACUAGGUCCCCAUACUCAUUUUUUAAUCAAGGGCUUUUGUAGCUGCCGAGUAAUUGACUCAGUGCUACCCACACAGUCAGUUAUUAGAAAUCCCAGACCAAGUCCAAAGAGAGAGAAACAGUCUCCGUUUUACAGUUUAGGCAUAGCUCACACCUCAGUCUGUAGCUCAUAUAAUCAAAGAGUUGCAUAUAUGAGAAAAUGAAAAAAUAAAAAAAUAAAGCUGUCAUAAAGGCGGGCAGUUAUUUA
Long non-coding RNA from Pygocentrus nattereri (red-bellied piranha), 1579 nucleotides. RefSeq lists it as uncharacterized. The record is from RefSeq and is a predicted model, not a curated record. Lineage: Eukaryota; Metazoa; Chordata; Actinopteri; Characiformes; Serrasalmidae. The transcript has 4 exons.